UACGAAGGGGGCGAGCGUUGUUCGGAUUUACUGGGCGUAAAGGGCGCGCAGGCGGUCAUUUUUGUCGAGGGUGAAAGCCCCGGGCUUAACCUGGGAACUGCGCUCGAAACGGGAUGACUAGAGAUCGGGAGAGGAGAGUGGAAUUCCCAGUGUAGAGGUGAAAUUCGUAGAUAUCGUAAGGAAGACCAGUGGCGAAGGCGGGUCUCUGGACAGUUCCUGACGCUGAGGCACGAAGGCCAGGGGAGCAAACGGG
RNAcentral lists this ribosomal RNA (253 nucleotides) under uncultured bacterium. RNAcentral describes it as "partial 16S ribosomal RNA". It matches the Rfam family "Bacterial small subunit ribosomal RNA", at positions 524 to 776 of the family's 1533-position model. The record is from RNAcentral.